ACUUUGGGGACUAUUAAAAGGCCAGGGAUCUCAGGGUCCGCGAGGGUUCAUAUUGUAAAAGCAAUUCUGAAAGAUAAGAUGGUCCAAGACCCCUAAGACAUUUAAAAACCAUUAAAAGGACCUCAAAAAUCAACCCUAAAGCACACAGGGAGCCAAUGCAGUGAUUUUAAAACCGGUUUAAUAUGUGCACUCUGGUCCUCGUCAGCACACGUGCUGCUGAGUUUUGCAACAGUUGUAAACUCGCAAUGUUUCUUUUUGGAAGACCAGAAAGCAGGACUUUACAAAAGUCAAGACGGCUGGAGAUAAAAGCAUGUAUUAGCGUCUCUGUGUUAGCCCGGGAGAGAAAGGGGCGGACUUUGGCUAUAUUCUUUAAAUGAUAAAACCCUGUUUUUGUUAUAUUUUUAAUAUGUGGGAUAAAAGUCAGCUCAGAGUCAAAGAUGACGCCCAGAUUCUUUACCUGAUUUGAUGGAAUUAAAGACAGGUUUUUCAGUUUUGUUAAAAGUUUCUCUCCCCGAGCUUUAGGAUCAAUAACUAAAACCUCAGUUUUGUCCUGGUUGAGCUGUAGGAAGUUUUCUGCCAUCCAGGAUUUAAUGUCUAGGAUACAGCUAAAAAGGGCAUCAAUUGGCCCUGUGUCAUCAGGAGACAUGGAUUUGUAGAGCUGUGUGUCAUCAGCAUAGCUGUGAAAAGUGAUACCAUGCCUCUUGAUGACAUCUCCCAGUGGGAGCAUAUAUAAAUUAAAAGUUAUAGGGCCUAAACACCACAUUUAAUGCUAUGAAUCUUUGAAGAGCAUGUGUCCAAACUUACAAGAAACUUUUGAUCUGUGAGAUAGGAGUUAAACCAUUGAAAGGCAGUACCAGAGAGGCCUACAAGGUGUCUUAGUCUAUUUAAAAAAAUUGUGUGAUCUACUGUAUCAAAAGCAGCGCUUAGAUCCAGUAGCACAAGGACUGUAAGCUUGUGUGAGUCCAAGUUGCAAAUAAGAUCAUUAACAAUUUUCAGUAGUGCAGUCUCGGUAUUGUGGUUCGUCCUAAAUCCAGAUUGAACUCCAGGAUGGAACAGUUAUUUAAAAAAUCAUUCAACUAAAUAAAAACAAGUUUUUCUAAAAUUUUGCUUAAAAAUGGUUAGUUGGACACUGGUCUGUAGUUAUUAAGAACAUUAGGGUCCAAAUUGUUCUUCUUCAGAAGUGGUCUCACUUCUGCCGUUUUAAGGGCAGCAAGGAAAGAGCUUGUCUGAAGAGAACAAUUCACUAUAUUUAAAAGCUCACCUUCAAAGAAUCCAUAAAAAAAUUUAAAAACAAGCUUUCCACUGUAUUAGAAACAGUGUUUUGAAUAGAUGAAAUAGAGGAUCAUAUAAAAAUCAAUUUUACCCCUGAAGUGGUCUGCAAAACCUUCGCAAAGUGUGUCUGAAGGAGUGAGUUGAUAUCUGUUAAAAACCGGGUUUAUUAAAAGAUCAAUUGUAGCAAAGAGGAUUUUAGGGUUAUUUUUAUGAUCCGUGAUUAUGUUGGUAAAAUAGGUGGAUCUUGUGUGUCUGAGAGCUUUAUUGUACAUUUUCAGUUGCUCGCAGUAUAUUUGAUAAUUAAUUGUGAUUUUAUUUUUCCUCCAUCUCCGCUCAGCUACCCUGCAAUUUCUUUUAAGUUUUUUGAUUUCCUCAUUUCUCCACGGCGGUGUGCGCUUAGGCAGUACCUUUUUUGUUUUCGGUGGAGCUACAGGGUCGAGUGUGGUUUCAAGUUUGUUGAUAAAAUGUUGAACAAUAAAAUCACAGGAUGCAGGUAGAGUAGCUGAGGGAUGCUUACUUAAGAUCUUGAUAAAAUUUGCAGCCACUUCUGACGUGAAAUAGCAUUUCCUGACAGUUCGCACCGAGGUCCCCCGCUUAAUAAAACUGGUGAUAUUAAAAAAACACACAAUAAUGGUCCGACACAGCCAGGUCAACAACAGAGGACACACUGGCUGAAAGGCCAUAGCUGAGGACUAGAUCCAAAGUGUGUCCUCCGUUGUGAGUCGGCUGUGUGACGUGUUGUGUAAAAUCCAAGCAACUAAGUAGAUUUAAAAACUCUUUUGCCAUUGAAUCAGAUGGAUUGUCUAUGUGUAAAUUAAAAUCACCAGAUAUAAUAAUAAAAUUGUAAGCUGCAUGGAUUAUUGCUAAAAAUUCAGAAAAUUCACUGAUAAAAGCAACACCAUGUUUUGGUGUUCUGUAAACAGUUAUACAAAGAAUUGAGGGACUGUUAAAAACAACUGCAUGAUGUUCAAAGGUGGUGUACUGAUCAAAUUGUAUUUCUUUUGUCCUUAGUGAGUUAUUGACUAUUGAUGCAGUACUACCACCUUUCUGCCACUUCUAAGGGAGAACGUAAAGUUAAAAUAAGGUGGGGAGGCCUCAGUGAAAAUAACUGGUGUGUCUGUACACAGCUAUGUUUCAGUUAAAAACAGAUAAUCAACCUUGUUGUCUAAAAUCAGGUCAUGGAGAAUAAAAGAUUAGUUUAAAAGAGAGCAAAUAUUUAAAACUGCCAUGUUAAUGUUGACGGGUGAUUUACAGACUUUGUGGUUAGAUUGUUGAUGUUUUGGGAGAGGUCUGAGGUUAUAGAAGUUCGCAGAGUGUACAUGAUGGAGUCUGGCUGUCUCUCGCUGAGUGAUCAUGACAGGAAUGGGUGAAUGGUUAAUGAAAACAGAGGGUCCAAGUCCAGUAUUGUGUGUGACAGAGGUGGAACUAAAAUCAUAGGAACUGGGACCUGGGGGACAUCAAUCAGUGGCGGAAAGGUCAGUUGGUGUACGUUUGGGGUGAUGGGAGGAAAGUGAGAGUUGAGUAUGUUGUAGACCGUGGGCUCUAUUUUCGUGCCUCGCCGGAGACGUGCCGCAAGCGCGGCGUCAGUCAGAUCCGCUGCGCUGACAAGGCGUUCCCAAGCACAUUUUGGUAUUUUGGUGAGCCGCGCAGCCCGGCGUAAGUAUCCCCCCUCCCUAACUCAGCUCCUCCCA
Molecule: non-coding RNA, 2963 nt
Organism: Xyrichtys novacula (pearly razorfish)
Lineage: Eukaryota; Metazoa; Chordata; Actinopteri; Labriformes; Labridae
Source: the annotation of a GenBank genome assembly